RNAcentral lists this long non-coding RNA (4191 nucleotides) under Betta splendens (Siamese fighting fish). Its description in RNAcentral is "lncRNA (ENSBSLG00000003593.1)". Lineage: Eukaryota; Metazoa; Chordata; Actinopteri; Anabantiformes; Osphronemidae. The record is from RNAcentral.
AUGGGGUCCAGCAUGGGGUCCAGCAUCAGGACCAGCAUGGGGUCCAGCAUCAGGACCAGCAUGGGGUCCAGCAUCAGGACCAGCAUCAGGACCAGCAUCGGGUCCAGCAUCGGGUCCAGCAUCAGGACCAGCAUCAGGACCAGUAUCAGAACCAGCAUCAGGUCCAGCAUAAGGAAUCAGGACCAGUAUCAGGUCCAACAUCAGGAAUCAGGACCAGCAUGGGGUCCAGCAUCAGGACCAGCAUGGGGUCCAGCAUCAGGUCCAGCAUCAGGAAUCAGGACCAGCAUCAGGACCAACAUCAGGUCCAGCAUCAGGACCAGCAUCGGGUCCAGCAUCAGGACUAGAAUCAGGAAUCAGGACCAGUAUCAGGUCCAACAUCAGGAAUCAGGACCAGCAUGGGGUCCAGCAUGGGGUCCAGCAUCAGGACCAGCAUGGGGUCCAGCACCAGGACCAGCAUGGGGUCAGCAUCAGGACCAGCAUCAGGACCAGUAUCAGGACCAGCAUCAGGUCCAGCAUAAGGAAUCAGGACCAGUAUCAGGUCCAACAUCAGGAAUCAGGACCAGCAUGGGGUCCAGCAUCAGGACCAGCAUAGUGUCCAGCAUCAGGACCAGCAUGGGGUCCAGCAUCAGGACCAGCAUCAGGUCCAGCAACAGGAAUCAGGCCCAGUAUCAGGUCCAACAUCAGGAAUCAGGACCAUCAUGGGGUCCAGCAUGGGGUCCAGCAUCAGGUCCAGCAUCAGGAAUCAGGACCAGCAUCAGGACCAGCAUCAGGAAUCAGGACCAGCAUCAGGACCAGCAUCAGGUCCAGCAUCAGGACCAGUAUCGGGUCCAGCAUCAGGACCAGUAUCAGGUCCAGCAUCAGGACAAGCAUCAGGACAAGCAUCAGGACCAGCAUCAGGUCCAGCAUCAGGACCAGCAUCAGGUCCAGCAUCAGGACCAGCAUCAGGACCAGCGUCAGGUCCAGCAUCAGGAAUCAGGACCAGCAUCAGGUCCAGCAUCAGGAAUCAGGACCAGCAUCGGGACCAGCAUCAGGUCCAGCAUCAGGACCAGCAUCAGGUCCAGCAACAGGUCCAGCAUAAAGACCAGCAUCAGGAAUCAGGACCAGCAUCAGGAAUCAGGACCAGCAUCAGGAAUCAGGACCAGCAUCAGGUCCAGCAUCAGGACCAGCAUCAGGACCAGCAUCGGGUCCAGCAUCAGGUCCAGCAUCAGGACCAGCAUCAGGUCCAGCAUCAGGUCCAGAAUCAGGUCCAGCAUCAGGAAUCAGGUCCAGCAUCAGGUCCAGCAUCAGGAAUCAGGACCAGCAUCAGGUCCAGCAUCAGGAAUCAGGACCAGCAUCAGGUCCAGCAUCAGGUCCAACAUCAAGACCAGCAUCGGGUCCAGCAUCAGGACCAGCAUCAGGACCAGCAUCAGGUCCAGCAUAAGGAAUCAGGACCAGCAUCGGGUCCAGCAUCAGGACCAGCAUCGGGUCCAGCAUCAGGAAUCAGGACCAGCAUCGGGUCCAGCAUCAGGACCAGCAUCGGCUCCAGCAUCAGGAAUCAGGACCAGCAUCGGGUCCAGCAUCAGGAAUCAGGACCAGCAUCAGGUCCAGCCUCAGGACCAACAUCGGGUCCAGCAUCAGGUCCAGCAUCAGGGCCAGCAUCAGGUCCAGCAUCAGGUCCAGAAUCAGGUCCAGCAUCAGGAAUCAGGUCCAGCAUCAGGUCCAGCAUCAGGUCCAGCAUCAGGAAUCAAGACCAGCAUCAGGUCCAGCAUCAGGAAUCAGGACCAGCAUCAGGACCAGCAUCAGGUCCAGCAUCAGGUCCAACAUCAGGUCCAACAUCAGGACCAGCAUCAGGACCAGCAUCAGGUCCAGCAUAAGGAAACAGGACCAGCAUCGGGUCCAGCAUCAGGACCAGUAUCAGGACCAGCAUCAGGUCCAGCAUCAAGACCAGCAUCAGGUCCAGCAUCAGGUCCAGCAUCAGGUCCAGCAUCAGGUCCAGUAUCAGGUCCAGCAUCAGGACCAGUAUCAGGUCCAGCAUCAGGUCCAGCAUCAGGUCCAGCAUCGGGUCCAGCACCAGGACCAGCAUCAGGUCCAGCAUCAAGACCAGCAUCGGGUCCAGCAUCAGGACCAGCAUCAGGACCAACAUCAGGUCCAGCAUCAAGACCAGCAUCAGGUCCAGCAUCAGGUCCAGCAUCGGGUCCAGCAUCAGGACCAGCAUCAGGAAUCAGGACCAGCAUCGGGUCCAGCAUCGGGUCCAGCAUCGGGUCCAGCAUCGGGUCCAGCAUCAGGACCAGCAUCGGGUCCAGCAUCAGGAAUCAGGACCAGCAUCGGGUCCAGCAUCAGGAAUCAGGACCAGCAUCAGGUCCAGCCUCAGGACCAGCAUCAGGUCCAGCAUCAGGACCAGCAUCGGGUCCAGCAUCAGGUCGAGCAUCGGGUCCAGCAUCAGGUCCAGCAUCAUGGCCAGCAUCAGGUCCAGCAUCAGGUCCAGAAUCAGGUCCAGCAUCAGGAAUCAGGACCAGCAUCAGGACCAGCAUCAGGUCCCGCAUCAGGUCCAACAUCAGGUCCAACAUCAGGACCAGCAUCAGGUCCAGCAUAAGGAAUCAGGACCAGCAUCAGGUCCAGCAUCAGGACCAGUAUCAGGACCAGCAUCAGGUCCAGCAUCAAGACCAGCAUCAGGUCCAGCAUCAGGUCCAGCAUCAGGUCCAGCAUCGGGUCCAGCAUCAGGACCAGUAUCAGGUCCAGCAUCAGGACCAGCAAAGGGUCCAGCAUCAGGACCAGCAUCAGGUCCCGCAUCAGGUCCAACAUCAGGUCCAACAUCAGGACCAGCAUCAGGUCCAGCAUAAGGAAUCAGGACCAGCAUCAGGUCCAGCAUCAGGACCAGUAUCAGGACCAGCAUCAGGUCCAGCAUCAAGACCAGCAUCAGGUCCAGCAUCAGGUCCAGCAUCAGGUCCAGCAUCGGGUCCAGCAUCAGGUCCAGCAUCAGGUCCAGCAUCGGGUCCAGCAUCAGGACCAGCAUCAGGACCAGCAUCAGGUCCAGCAUCAAGACCAGCAUCAAGACCAGUAUCAGGUCCAGCAUCGGGUCCAGCAUCGGGUCCAGCAUCAGGAAUCAGGACCAGCAUCGUGUCCAGCAUCGGGUCCCGCAUCAGGACCAGCAUCGGGUCCAGCAUCAGGAAUCAGGACCAGCAUCGGGUCCAGCAUAAGGAAUCAGGACCAGCAUCGGGUCCAGCAUCAGGACCAGUAUCAGGUCCAGCAUCAGGACCAGCAAAGGGUCCAGCAUCAGGACCAGCAUCAGGACCAGCAUCAGGUCCAGCAUCAGGUCCAGCAUCAGGUCCAGCAUCGGAUCCAGCAUCAGGACCAGCAUCAGGAAUCAGGACCAGCAUCGGGUCCAGCAUCGGGUCUAGCAUCAGGACCAGCAUCGGGUCCAGCAUCAGGAAUCAGGACCAGCAUCGGGUCCAGCAUCGGGUCCAGCAUCAGGAAUCAGGACCAGCAUCGGGUCCAGCAUCAGGACCAGCAUCGGGUCCAGCAUCAGGAAUCAGGACCAGCAUCGGGUCCAGCAUCAGGACCAGCAUCGGGUCCAGCAUCAGGAAUCAGGACCAGCAUCGGGUCCAGCAUCAGGACCAGCAUCGGGUCCAGCAUCAGGAAUCAGGACCAGCAUCGGGUCCAGUAUCAGGAAUCAGGACCAGCAUCAGGUCCAGCAUCAGGACCAGCAUCAGGACCAGCAUCAGGACCAGUAUCAGGACCAGCAUCAGGUCCAGCAUAAGGAAUCAGGACCAGUAUCAGGUCCAACAUCAGGAAUCAGGACCAGCAUGGGGUCCAGCAUGGGGUCCAGCAUCAGGACCAGCAUGGGGUCCAGCAUCAGAACCAGCAUGGGGUCCAGCAUCAGGACCAGCAUCAGGUCCAGCAACAGGAAUCAGGCCCAGUAUCAGGUCCAACACCAGGAAUCAGGACCAGCAUGGGGUCCAGCAUGGGGUCCAGCAUCAGGACCAGCAUGGGGUCUUGCAUCAGGACCAGCAUAAGGUCCAGCAUCAGGACCAGCAUCGGGUCCAGCAUCAGGACCAGCAUCAGGUCCAGCAUCAGGUCCAGCAUCAAGAAUCAGGACCAGCAUCAGGACCAGCAUCAGGUCCAGCAUCAGGACCAGUAUCAGGUCCAACAUCAGGACCAGCAUCAGGACCAGCAUCAGGACCAGUAUCAGGACCAGCAUCAGGUCCAGCAUAA